Molecule: non-coding RNA, 29 nt
Filed under: Rattus norvegicus (Norway rat)
Lineage: Eukaryota; Metazoa; Chordata; Mammalia; Rodentia; Muridae
Source: RNAcentral
UCACCCUACUGACCUGUGAUAAAUGUGUC